Molecule: unclassified non-coding RNA, 370 nt
Filed under: Hevea brasiliensis (rubber tree)
Lineage: Eukaryota; Viridiplantae; Streptophyta; Magnoliopsida; Malpighiales; Euphorbiaceae
Source: RNAcentral
GGAGAGAAGCUACCGCCUGGCACACAAAACCCAAAACGCAUUAAGUGUGGGCCAGAAGGAGGCAACACUACUCUGCAUGGCGAGCCAAAACCUCCUCCAUGCCGGGACCUGCUAAAGUUAUGGUAAAUGUUGUCUCCAAUAAUGAAGCUUGGAUGUUUCAAGCUUCCCUGUAUGAUCCUUUUUGUUUUCUUAAUCUUAACCAUUCUUUGUAUUUGCCUGCCGGCUUGGUUUCUGGCUGAUGCUCAAAUUUCCCACUUCAUAUUCAAGUUAUGAAAUGGCUAAGCAAUCCCUUGAUGCGCUUGAAUUUAUGGUCGUGUGACAUGAUUGAGAACCAUCACAAAUUUAAUCAUACAGGGAAGCUUGAAACAUC